UUUAAUGAUUUAUUUUAUAAUUCAUUAAGGGUGUGUUUGGUUCCACGUAAAACUGUGGGAAAAAAAAUUUGGUGGGAAAAAAAUUUUCGGUGGAGAAAAGUUUUACGUCGUUUGGUGUUUGAUUUGUAGGAACAAAAAAAAGCUUUUCACGACAGUUGUUUGGUUGAAAGAAAAAAAAAUUAUAAAUAAAAAUUAUUAUAUAUUUUUUAUUUUAUAUAUUUUAUAUUAUUAGUAUAUAAUUAUUAUCAUAUUAUAUAUAUUAGUAUCACCGUUUAUAUUUAUAAAUAAAAUAUAUUUAAAAUAUAUUAUGCAAUAAUUAAAUAUGCAAUAUAAUAUAUAAUACUAUAAAAUAAAUUACUCGAUAUUUUAAAAUAAAAUAUUAUAUAAUAAAUAUAUUUUUUUUUUGAUUAAACAGGGUAUAAUAAAUAUAUUUUUAUUAAAAAUAAAAUAUAUAUAUAUAUAUAUAUAUAUAUAUAUAUAUAUAUGUAGAACUAGGCUGGAAUACUAUCAAUAGCACCAAGCUAUUUGUGCUAUUAGUUUUUUAGCCAUUGGAUUGAGAAAUGUGCGGUUAGGAUAAUGUGGGCCCCCUAGGGUUGAGUGGGUGGUUGGUUGAAUAGUAUAAUCUAAUGUGGGAAAAUAAUCAAAGGGAUUAAUCUAACGGCAGAAAACUUGAUAGCACUAAAUACUUCGUGUUAUCGAUAGCAUAGUAGCCGGACUCUAUAUAUAUAUAAAGAUGGGGGAGAGAGAGAGGU
RNAcentral lists this long non-coding RNA (752 nucleotides) under Ananas comosus (pineapple). RNAcentral describes it as "long non-coding RNA (ACOM_LNC036252)". The record is from RNAcentral. Lineage: Eukaryota; Viridiplantae; Streptophyta; Magnoliopsida; Poales; Bromeliaceae.